UCCAGACUCCUACGGGAGGCAGCAGUGGGGAAUCUUCCGCAAUGGGCGAAAGCCUGACGGAGCAACGCCGCGUGAUCGAAUGAAGGCCUUCGGGUUGUAAAGAUCUGUUGACAGGGACGAAUAAGCGAUGCGAAUAGUUUUGUGUAUGACGGUACCUGUUUAGAAAGCUCCGGCUAACUACGUGCCAGCAGCCGCGGUAAUACGUAGGGAGCAAGCGUUGUCCGGAAUUACUGGGCGUAAAGGGUGCGUAGGUGGUUUGGCAAGUUAGUAGCGUAACUCCGGAGCUUAACUUCGGAACUACUACUAAAACUGUCGGACUUGAGUGCAGGAGGGGCAACUGGAAUUCCUAGUGUAGCGGCGGAAUGCGUAGAUAUUAGGAGGAACACCAGUGGCGAAGGCGAGUUGCUGGACUGUAACUGACACUGAGGCACGAAAGCGUGGGGAGCAAACAGGAUUAGAUACCCGAGUA
This 469-nucleotide ribosomal RNA is filed under the name uncultured bacterium. RNAcentral describes it as "bacterial SSU rRNA". It matches the Rfam family "Bacterial small subunit ribosomal RNA", at positions 330 to 792 of the family's 1533-position model. The record is from RNAcentral.